This is a long non-coding RNA of Equus quagga, 867 nucleotides long. RefSeq lists it as uncharacterized. NCBI's taxonomy places the organism in Eukaryota, Metazoa, Chordata, Mammalia, Perissodactyla, Equidae. The record is from RefSeq and is a predicted model, not a curated record. The transcript has 3 exons.
GCAUCGUUCUGUAAAGAAGAGUACAACAAAAGACAGAAAAACAGAAAUGCAGCCAAUUCUUGAUCAUCUCUUCAAAGAGAGGGAAAUAUUUCUGCAAAUCAGCCAAAAGAUUCAUACUGGAGAGAAUAAUAUUUAAACUUGAGUCUCCAGCGGCAACAUUUCAAAGCAUCUGGAAAGGAAGGAUGUUUCCAGGCUGAGAAGAAGGCAUGUUGUCUGAAGUGCAGAAGCCACCUUGUGACCACAAAGAGCAGGCAUGAAGAAUCACAAAGUGCCAACCGUGAUGUCCCCCAUCCGCUGAAUCGAAGCCAGUAGCUGCUUACCUCCAGACGUCUUAUCAUGUGAGAAAACUGAAGACCUAUUUGUUUAAUCCAGUGUUAAUUGUGUCCUCUGUUUCUUGAAGUUAAAGCUUUCUGGUUUGAUUCUACCAAGGCGCUUUGCCCACUGGGAUGACUCUGCCAGAUCAGGAAGAGCUGUGGCCGAGAACACAUGCAACAAGGACAAAAAUUAUGUCUCCUGUCUUGCAAGUUGAAAAGUUAUCACAUAUUGUAAACCAAAAACCCUCUAGUCCCUGAAUUUAAUUUUGUUAUCCAUAUCCCUUGUCGCUCGGACUCUCCAAACCUCCCUUCAAUGACCUGUUACCAUAUUUUCCUGCAGAGUUUUAUGACUCUCUUGGUUGGUUGUAGGUGUUUAAUGAUAAUAAUAAUCCAGGUUCUCCUUACAUCGUUAUUAUAGUGCAGGGUCCUGAAGAGCACUCCCUUGGCCUGUCUGAACAGGAAAUGAAAUUGUAUAGAUGGUAUGAUCACAUCCAUAUAAAAGCUCAAAUUAGAUGACAAAUAAAAAAUUAUGGAAGAGAAAUCUACUAGAUUA